UGGGAUCUGUAAACACCGUAAACCCGGAAGAAGGAGAAUUACGAAUUACGAGAAUUUCUGAAGCCUUAUGCGCCUCGCCUCAUCUAUACACUCUUGCCAGUAUCUGUUGGCGUUGUCGGUGACAACAAGCCACAGCACCAAGACCAGCAACACUAACGACUCCAUGUCCUCCAUGUUUAUUGUUUACUCUCCGGGUUGUGAGACUACCGCUUAAAAGGUCACUGAUGUCACUGUUUGCGCCGCAUAACGACAUCACCUGACGUCCACCCACUUUCGCUAACUCCACCCAAUGUGUCCACCCACUUCCAGCCAGCACGGUUCAGCACGGUUGUAGUUGAAAUGCAACUCCAACAGCCCCGCUCAGCUCGACUCAGCCCGACUCAGCACGGCACGGCUCAGCCCAACUCAGCCGCGUUGGUAGUGGAAAAGCGGCAUUAGUAACGGCCACUCCGGAGAGUAUGGCGAGAUAUUGUCUAUGUCGUUCAUUCACAGUUAGUUGUUGCAGCUCCUCAUAUGGCUGAACAAGCCGAUUCGCGAUUUGCAUGUGGGGCCGCAGUUAGGGCAGGUUGUUCCUCCUGGAAGAGUUGGUCUGCUUGGGGCUUGCUGCCUUGCUUUUCGGGCCUGUCUCUUUCGAACAGCAUCGUCUAUACAUUCGGAUUCGAAGGUCUCGACUAUUUUGGCAGUUGCCCGGCGCCAGGAGGAGAGGUCUGAAGUGAGACUUUCAAAGUCAUUUGGCUCGACUUUUCCUUUUUUGAGGUAUAAUUUCAGAGUGUCUUUGUAUCUCUUCUUUUGACCUCCCUGAGAGCGAGUUCCCACCUCAAGCUCUCCAAAGAAGAUUUGUUUUGGGAGACGUGUGUCAUCCAUUCUGGCACAGUGCCCUGCCCAGCGUAGCUGGUUCUUCAUGACAAUGGAUUCAAUGCUGGUACUCUCUGCUUCUUCCAGCACGCUGAUAUUUGUCCGAUAGUCUUUCCAGGAGAUCCCAAGAAUUCUUCAUAGGGAGCGUUGGUGAAAUUGCUCCAGGGUUUUGAGGUGUCUUCGAUAUGUCACCCAUGUCUCGCUGCCAUAUAAGAGGGUUGGUAUGACCACAGCUUUGUACACCAUUACUUUCGUGUCAGUUUUGAGGUUACAGUUCUCAAAUACGCGUUUCCGAAGUUUUCCGAAAGAUGCACAUGCACUCCCAAGUUGGUGAAUAGCUUCGUCAUCGAUGUUUGCUUUAGUGUUGAGAAUGCUUCUGAGAUAGCAGAAGUGUUCAACAGAUUCCAGUGUUUCCCCAUCUAGUUGAAUAUUUGCCAUGGGAGCCUGCUGGCCAGGAGUAGGUUGAAACAAAAUCUUUGUCUUUGUUUUGUUCAUUUGGAGGCCAAGAAGCUUAUAGGCUGAGUUAAAGAGAUUGAGGUUAUCCUGUAGGUCCUUUUCCAACAUGGCUACAAUGGCGCAGUCAUCGGCAUAUUGUAGGUCAUUCCUUUUUAUUUUCUGGACUUUUGUGGUUGCCUUGAGCCAGCUCAAAUUGAAAAUACUUCCAUCAAACCGGUAUCUGACUGUGACACCGGUGGGGAGUUGGUCUUUGAUGAGAACAAUGGCCGCGAAGAGGUAGACGUUGAAAAGGGAGGGUGUCAAGACACAACCUUGCUUGACACCGGUCACAAUGGGGAAAGCGUCCGUUUCCGAGUUAUUGUACAGCACAAUGGCAGUCAUGCCGUCAUGCAACAAUCGUAGCAUCUUGAGAAACUUGUCUGGGCAGCCCAGCUGUUUCAGAAUUUUCCACAAAGCUUCACGGUUCAGGGAAUCGAAAGCUUUGGUCAAGUCAAUGAAGGCCAUAAACAGGGGCUGCCGCUGCUCGACGCACUUCUCUUGCAGUUGUCUGGCCGCAAAGAUCAUGUCAAUUGUGCCACGUUCUGGUCGAAAGCCACAUUGUGAUUCUGGAAGAAUCGAUUCGCUAAGUGGUUGGAAACGAAUGAUGAGGACCCUUGCCAAGAUCUUGCCGGUGUGAGACAGCAGUGCGAUGCCAUGGUAAUUACCACAGUCUGAUCUGUCCCCUUUUUUGAAUAACACAACAAUCAUCGCAUUUAUUAGUUCGUUUGGUAGAGCUUCAUCCUCCCAAACAUGUUGAAGAAACUUUGUCAGUUGAGUGGUUAGGGCAGGCCCCCCAGCUUUAUACACUUCAGCAGGGAUGCCGUCAGGUCCAUAAGCCUUGUUAUUAUUCAGGCUCAUAAUAGCCUGGGCAACUUCUUGGAGACUCGGCGGGGCAGCAAGUUCAGUUCUUUCAGGAAGAAGAGGGAUCUGACUUAUAGUCUCUGCAGUAACUGUGGUUUUACGAUUCAGAAGUUUUUCAAAGUGUUCUUUCCAUCUUGCCAUGAUUGAUGCGUUGUCCUUGAGCAGUGAGCCGUCUUCCGCUUUCAGGGGAGCCAGGCCAGUCUUUAUUGGUCCAUAUAACGCCUUUGUGGCCUGAAAGAAACUUCUCAUGUCGUUACUGUUGGUGAAACCUUGAAUUUGGGAGGCCUUAUCAGACCACCAUUUAUUUUUCAUUUCUCUGAUGCGAACUUGCACCUUAGCUUUGAGGUAGGAGAAUUUCUUGUGUUUAGUGGAAUUAUCAUGAUCAUCUUGCCAAGAUACGAAGGCACGACGUUUCUGGUCCAAAAGCUCUUGGAUUUCAGGAUCAUUUUGAUCAAACCAAUCUUCAUUCACUCAUUUGUGAGUGCCAAUUGUUUGGGUACAUGUUUCGAUAAUAGCAGAUUUCAGCGAGCUCCAGUGCUCGUGGACACUGCCAGGGUCAACAUCGGUAGAGAUAAGCUGCUGCAAAUUUUCGUUUAAACAAGUCUGAAAGUUUUCCUUUUCUAGUGGAAUCUUCAGUUUCAGUGUGUUUAACUUCUUCCGUACAGGCCUGGAGGUUUUUCGGAAUUUGUUCCCCAGAGUGAUAUCCAUACACAAGCGGACUAGUCUGUGGUCUGUCCAACGUUCGUCGGCACCUCUCAUCGCACGGGUGCACCUCAUGUCUUUUCUAUCCCUUGCUCUGAUGAUCACAUAGUCCAGGAGAUGCCAGUGCUUAGAUCAUGGAUGGCGCCAGGUAGUUUUAUGUCUGUGUUUCAGGCGGAAAAGCGUGUUAGUGACGACUAGGUUGUGCCGCACACAGAAUGUCAGCAAAAGGUGACCAUUAGAGUUUGCAUUGCCGACACCUUCCUUUCCUAUGGCUCCUUGCCAGAGCGCUGCAUCCCUGCCAACAUGGGCAUUAAAAUCCCUCAACAAAAUAAUCUUAUCGGUAGUCGGGAUAGCUUUCAUGACGGUUUCCAAAUCCUCAUAAAACUUCUCCUUGACAUCAUCGUCUGAGGUUAGUGUAGGUGCACAGCAGCUAACAACUGUCGCAUUUUGGUUGUCGUCAAAUUUCAGGCGGAGUGUCAUGAUUCUCUCAUUCACUCCAAUCGGUGUUUCUUCCGGUUGAUUCACUAUAUUGUUUUUUAUAGCAAAACCAACUCCGUGUAUUCUUCUUUCAUCCUGUGGUAGACCUUUCCAAAAGAAGGUAUACCCUCCUAAAUCCUCUUUCAGCUGCCCUUCAUCCGCAAGGCGAGUCUCACUCAGGGCAGCAAUGUUCAUGUGAAAGCAAGCAAGCUCCCUGGCGACAAAAGCCAUGCGUUGUUCUGGGCGGUCACAAUCAUCUCUAUCUGUAAGUGUCCUCACGUUCCAAGUCGCGAAGAGAAAACACCGGGGUGGGCGCUUCUGAUUUUUCUUUUUUGUUUUCUGGGUUUUCUUCUUUCUUUUUUUACUGCUAGGGGAUGACCCACUGGGCGCAGCAACCCAGCCAGGAAGAGUCGGGAUGAACUAUUUUUGAGGCACCUUUUCUAGCCCCGUCCCCAAAGGGGGGAGCAAAGUGGAUCCUAAAGAGGGUUGCUCCAUCAUAGAUGUCGCUGCCGAGAAGUGACUUCAUCCCUUUUUCCAGCCGCUUAGUGACCCAUGACAUCUACCGCCAAUCGUGCAGAGUUGUGACUAGGAACUCCCAGGAGUCGCAUCCCUGUUCCACUCGCCACGCAUCCAUCGCCGGUUGGACUUUUCAACACCACCAAACAGACACCUGGUUUGCGCGUGAUUGAUUAUUGUGAAGAAGCCCCUGCGCGGGGGGUGAUCCGCACUCUUGACAGUGUGAAGGCUGACACAGUGGCAUACCAAAGUAAGACGACUAUGCUGCCCGCACGCCGCUGCAGCAGAUGGCCGUCAGGAUAUUCCGAGUAGAAGUAUCAAGCGCCCUUCCGAAACUGCGGUCCGGGAGGUUUCUGUCAGGGACCUCACCCUUAGCCUUUGGCUUAAAAGCCUGUCCCACAAGGCAGCGGGAGGCAGAGACUUUUUGAGGCGGUCUCUGCAAUACAGUACCUGGUGUUCCCAAGCAAAUUCCCCUCCAAGUACCUAAACGAUCGUCAGCCGUCCAAUGGUUGAGCAAUGCUGAGCAGAGCUGAGCAGCGAUCAGCCAAUGGUUGAGCAACGCUGAGCAGAGCUGAGCGCUCAACAGACCAAUCAUUGAGCAAGGAUCGGAAAAUAUUCAUGACAUCACUGCUCGGCGCGGUUGAGCUCAGGUUGAGCUGCGUUAUGAAAAUACUGGCAGCCAUCUUUAGCUACUCCGGGGUCGGCGUUAUUGAUGACCGAUCGGACUGUUUUUUUUUUUUUUUACUCUCAGGUAAGUUUGGUAUAAUUAUGUGCUAAGUAAUGAAUGAAACUCAGUAUAUUUUUGAAUAGUUUGCCUGAUAUUCAAGGUUUUACAUGAUAUCUCGUUAGCGCCGUACUGACACUAAUUUUCUGUCACCAAGUGGCUAGGCUAAUAGCUGCUAGGUUCGAUCUCUCUGAAAUGCGUUUAAAAUGCGACCAGACUAUUGAUUUUACAUGUUGAGACCUUGAAGAAUGUACUACUACUGUGUGGACUCCAAAUGUAAAGCUUAAAUAUGCUUUAGAUGCGUUAGAAUAUCAACCGCGAUUAGCAUGCUAAAUGCAUUGAAAAUGAAUGAAUGAGCUACCAAUCAUUACCUGACGAUUACCUGACCCGAACCAAUUAACAUUACCUGACGAUCCCUGGAAAUACUUCAGAAACGUAAUCAGACACUCUAGCUCACUUCUUAAGACCAUAGAGAUGGUGUUACAACAGUGUGGAGUUGAAAUUCGAUGUGAAAAUAUGCUUUAGAAGUGUAAACAUGUCAACCGCGAUUUGCAUGCUAAAAACAAAGUGAUGAAUGAAUGGGCUGUUUUUGGUUACUACUUUUACGAGGUCUGCAGGGUCUCUAAAAAUGUAUUUAAGCCCUCAUCUGCUUUUAGUUUUACUCAUUUAUUUAUGUUUUACUGUACCAGAUGAAACAUGGAGAAGCCUAGACAUCGGUGCAGCGUGUGCGACAAGUCCAUCUCGACCUUCGCUGCCAGGGAGGAGAAAAAGGCCAACUACAGGGCGACGGUAUUGCCAAAGGUGACGCCUCACCUGAAAGUGCUGUCAGACGCACCGUUCCCGGAAGCUCCUGCGCUGCCAACAUCCCUCCCACCGCCAGACCGGCCUCAGGUCCAGUACCAGCACGUUCAUCACGAGGCUGGAAAAAGGCGUGGUGAGAAGUGGAGAUGAUUUGUUGAAGAGCCAGAGCCUGUGCCUCCUGUGAACCGGCCCGUUCAGCCCACGGCGUCGUCCUCCUCCACUCGGCCAAAGCUUGCUGCGCCCACCCCCAUUCUGCCAGGGCCUGCUGCGUCCACCCACUUCCAGGCAAAGCCUGCUGCGCCCACCUGUGGACCACCCCCUGUGUCAGCAGCACCCAUACUGCUGGUUCUCCUCCCACACCGCAAGGCUCCCUCCGUCCUGUUUCGUGGCCCAUCGUGCAGCCAGAGCUUUGUACCUCCUGCACCAACAGUCAAGGCAUUCAUGCCGAACAUGUCCUCGCGGCCAUGUGGGGCUUGCCACGUGCCUAAUUGUGGUGGACAGCGGAAGAGGUACACACCUUCCAAGGACAAAGUGGCUGGAAGCACCCAGAAGAUAUUUUCCUACUGUCCAUCCACUAGGAAAUCCACCAACCACCUCUGGGUUUAACAAUGUGGUGAACGCUUUAAAUGUGUGUUGGAUUCGGAGUUGGACAAGAGGAGAACUGUGUAAAUAACUGUGUAAAUAACUUACCUGUGUGAUGCCACUUCUCCUGUGCCAUCUGUAGGAGAGAGAAAGAGGCUUGUGUGUGUGUGUGUGUGUGUGUUUGUGUUUCAAAGUGCUUCAGCAAGUACAAUCUAUUUAUUUAUAUAGUUCAAAGGUUCAAAAAAAAUGCACUUUACAGUUUUACUUAAGAAUGUUCUUGUUUGUUUUUUAUUAUUAUUUAUGUUGCUGUUAAAAUGCACUUUGUAUUACCUUUUUUUUUAUACAAACAUGUUCUGGCCUAUGUUCAAUAUCAAGGCCAAUCUAACCUCAGUCAUUUUAACCUUAAUCAGUUCUGAUCUAACACAAUCAGUUUACAUACCCUUUAGUGGUUGUUCAUGUUCAGAUAAUCUGUGUUUUUGUCAUGCGUGUUGUUUGUUUGUCUUUGUCAGCUUCUGCGCGCUUCGACAGCGUAUUGAUACUGAGCUCCGUAUCAAUGCGCUGUCGAAGCGCGCAGAAGGUGUUAGUACGCCUGUCAUUAUAGUGCGGACUUUCCAUAGCAUAGAAAAUCGCUACGUUUCAAUUUGUGUAACUGAACUUGUUUCAUGGUCACUGGUCAUAUAAACCUAUGUAAACAGGAAAAACGUGGAAGAGUUUGGUCGCAUCUAACUACAGCCCCAAAAAAUACCAUUGGCCAUGCUGAGCCUAGCUACAUUGCUAACAGGAGUGACAGCGCGUCUGACUGACUGGGAGGUCGCGCAAAGCUCGGAGAGGUACGGAGCAGCUCGUCUCAAUUCAGAUAAGAGCAUAUUUCAUUAUGGAAGUACGGUGGACUGUUCCUUUAAAGCUAAACGACCUUUUGAUUUCAUAAAAUCAGUGAAAUUUAGUUCCCUCUAAAAUUUGGUCAUUGUGAUAUGUUUAUUUCUGUAAUAUCGCAAAAAACAAAAACAGGCCAUUCUGUGGCUGGGAAGUUAUUUAAUUUGAGGGGAUUAAAGCAAAUAACAUGCAUAAAAUCACUUGCUUUGCGCAGUCAAGCAGACAGAGGAAGUCCGUGUGCACAUGCGCAAGUUUACCUUCUUCUUUUGGGUUUUACGGCAGCUGGCAUCCAUAGUGUCACAUUACUGCCAUCUACAGGUUUCCCUUUGAGAGUGCACUGACAGUUCCAUCAUUCUGUCGCUAAACGAACAGCUGAUCAUACCGAGGUACUCACUGAGCACCGAUAUUUAUUAGUUUAGUCCUGCGUUUCCUUUCCUUCAUAUAGAACAUAACAUCUUUUCUUCUUGCUUUCUUUCCGUUACUGUAGUUGGUCUUUCACGUUUCAUUCGCACACUCACGUCCUCCAUUUUUCUCUCCUGUUUCAAAUUUGUAGCCCACAAUGCCUUGCGUGAAUGGGGAAAGCCCACCAUGUGAUGUAGUGUCUUGAACUGGGUCAUGGUGAAGCAGGAAAAAAAGCAGAGAAUUUAGGGCCAUGUGGCCUUAAAUUCAUUAAUUGUUCUAUUAAAAAAACUAAAAAUUGGAA
Long non-coding RNA from Neoarius graeffei (lesser salmon catfish), 7589 nucleotides. RefSeq lists it as uncharacterized. Lineage: Eukaryota; Metazoa; Chordata; Actinopteri; Siluriformes; Ariidae. The transcript has 2 exons. The record is from RefSeq and is a predicted model, not a curated record.